This 426-nucleotide ribosomal RNA is filed under the name uncultured bacterium. RNAcentral's name for it is "bacterial SSU rRNA". It matches the Rfam family "Bacterial small subunit ribosomal RNA", at positions 355 to 772 of the family's 1533-position model. The record is from RNAcentral.
UGGGGAAUUGUUCGCAAUGGGCGCAAGCCUGACGACGCAACGCCGCGUGGAGGAUGAAGGUCUUCGGAUUGUAAACUCCUGUCGAACGGGACGAACACCUUCCGGGUUAAUACUCCGGGAGGCUGACGGUACCGUGAGAGGCAGCCCCGGCUAACUCUGUGCCAGCAGCCGCGGUAAUACAGAGGGGGCAAGCGUUGUUCGGAAUUACUGGGCGUAAAGGGCGCGUAGGCGGCCCUCUAAGUCAGACGUGAAAUCCCUCGGCUCAACCGGGGAACUGCGUCUGAGACUGGAAGGCUUGAAUUCGGGAGAGGGAUGUGGAAUUCCAGGUGUAGCGGUGAAAUGCGUAGAUAUCUGGAGGAACACCGGUGGCGAAGGCGGCAUCCUGGACCGAGAUUGACGCUGAUGCGCGAAAGCCAGGGGAGCAAA